Molecule: ribosomal RNA, 439 nt
Filed under: uncultured bacterium
Lineage: Bacteria
Description: partial 16S ribosomal RNA
Rfam family: Bacterial small subunit ribosomal RNA
Source: RNAcentral
CCUACGGGAGGCAGCAGUGGGGAAUAUUGCACAAUGGGGGAAACCCUGAUGCAGCGACGCCGCGUGAGUGAAGAAGUAUCUCGGUAUGUUAAGCCCUAUCAGCAGGGAAGAAAAUGACGGUACCUGAUUAAGAAGCUCCGGCUAACUACGUGCCAGAAGCCGCGGAAAUACGUAGGGGGCAAGCGUUAUCCGGAUUUACUGGGUGUAAAGGGAGCGUAGACGGCAGCACAAGUCUGGAGUGAAAUGCCGGGGCUUAAGCCCGUACUGCCGUUGAAACUGCGUGCCUUGAGUGGGCGUGAGGUAUGCGGAAUGCGUGGUGUAGCGGUGAAAUGCAUAGAUAUCACGCAGAACUCCGAUUGCGAAGGCAGCAUACCGGCGCGCAACUGACGCUCAUGCACGAAAGCGUGGGUAUCGAACAGGAUUAGAUACCCCGGUAGUC